UACUGUUGUAUUAAUAAUAAUUUAUUUUCAAUAUGACUUAUUUAAUGGAAUGGAUGAAGCAAAGGACGAGAUUCAGCGGGAAGGGCUGGGCUUCGAGACCUGAUCCUUUCUCAUUUUAAUGCUGCUCCCUCACUGUGGUCAGCCUGAGUGGGAUCGGCUGCCCGGCCUUCAUUUUACCUUUGUUGCCAUCUCUCUUUGCGGUGGUUCUUUCUCUUCCUCCUCCUCCGCCUCAUAAGCAAAGGGUAAGGCACAGUUCUGAAUCUUUGGUUCUGUAAAGAGGCGUGCCCAUCUCUGUGCUUGAUUCCACUGUUCUGGAACUUCAUCAGGCGUCGGAGUGGGGCUAGUGCUGGGACCCCUUGAGGAGGUGGGCUAAAUAGGACCAGUCUUGAUUAGGGAAAUUAAAAAGCCAGCAUUUGCUAUGUAAUAAGAUGUCAAGGCUGGGGCAGAGUAGAUGCUACUUUGUUUUAAAACUUGAUUUGCUUUCAAGACUUGUACGUAAAUUACUUUUCAAGCUCAUAUCACACGAUAUAGUCC
This 534-nucleotide long non-coding RNA is filed under the name Homo sapiens (human). RNAcentral's name for it is "non-protein coding lnc-C2orf91-2:1". The record is from RNAcentral. Lineage: Eukaryota; Metazoa; Chordata; Mammalia; Primates; Hominidae.